GCAGAUGUAGUUCAAUGGUAGAACACAGCCUUGCCAAGCUGAUACGGGGGUUCGAUUCCCCUCAUCUGCUCCA
This 73-nucleotide transfer RNA is filed under the name Amedibacillus dolichus. RNAcentral's name for it is "Absiella dolichum tRNA-Gly". It matches the Rfam family "tRNA". Rfam says of the family: Transfer RNA (tRNA) molecules are approximately 80 nucleotides in length. Their secondary structure includes four short double-helical elements and three loops (D, anti-codon, and T loops). Lineage: Bacteria; Bacillati; Bacillota; Erysipelotrichia; Erysipelotrichales; Erysipelotrichaceae. The record is from RNAcentral.